This 365-nucleotide long non-coding RNA is filed under the name Ananas comosus (pineapple). RNAcentral describes it as "long non-coding RNA (ACOM_LNC002965)". Lineage: Eukaryota; Viridiplantae; Streptophyta; Magnoliopsida; Poales; Bromeliaceae. The record is from RNAcentral.
UAAAAUGUAGUAUUCUAGCUGGACUUUGACAAAUAGGCAAGGUUGCAGUUUGAGUUGAUGGUUAGCACGUUUGUAGAGUGCUGGGUUGAGUUGGAGCAGUUUUGACGCAAAAUGGACAUGAAAACAGAUUUCGAAAAGUUGAAAUAGAUUGGAACUUAAGUUUUAGAGCUUUUUGAAUGCCCGAAAAUAGUUUAGGGCGCCCAAAAGUCACUGGCUAAGGAGCUGGAGAUUCGGAGCGUAGUUAAGGACGUAGUAGGUGGAUUCGAAAGUUGAGUAUAGUUGGGUUGCGGGUGCCCGAUUGUUACUGCAACGGCUCGGAUGUUAGGUAAGGUUGAUUUGACCGUGACGGUGUGCACGUGAGUCGG